AAAGCACUGGUUCUCAUCUGAUCACUGGAGUUAAGCAACACUGAGCCUGGUCAGUACCUAGAUGAGUGAGUGCUUGGGAAUACCAGGUGCUC
Molecule: non-coding RNA, 92 nt
Organism: Acanthosepion pharaonis
Lineage: Eukaryota; Metazoa; Mollusca; Cephalopoda; Sepiida; Sepiidae
Source: the annotation of a GenBank genome assembly